Long non-coding RNA from Triticum dicoccoides, 1085 nucleotides. RefSeq lists it as uncharacterized. The transcript is spliced from 5 exons. NCBI's taxonomy places the organism in Eukaryota, Viridiplantae, Streptophyta, Magnoliopsida, Poales, Poaceae. The record is from RefSeq and is a predicted model, not a curated record.
GACUGCUGGAGCCGCCCAGUUUGCUCAGGCACGCUGCUGCUGAGCCCAUUGUCUUCUUCCGAGAGACGUACUCCUAUCCCCCAUACCCUGAUCCCCCAAUCCCCCAUGGUUGCUCACUUGCCGUGAAUCUCUGAUUUAGACAAAUGUCAAUAUUUUCGGCACAAAUCUGAAUUUGUCUACACCCGGAAGCUCCUCCUAUCCUUCAAGCUACUUUGAUUCAGUGGAGUCUCGAGGCUGCAGGCAUGCGGCAACCUCGGUUUCAAUUUGUCCAGAGACAGGAGUUAGGCAGCCAUGUGCACGUCAACAGCGGUGCGUACAGCCGGUGGACGCUUGGGUCCUUCGUCAACGGUGAAUCCCAUAACAAUCUUGAAACAUGAUGGAACCAUAUCCAGUGAUGCACUAUGAAGUAAGUUAUCCGGCCCGCACAAAGACCCGUCAAGCCUGCAAAGGAUGACAGUGUGGACUUGGAUGGAACAAAGAGUUGAUCAAAACCGACACCAUGUAUUCUUAUGGAUGUAUGAGCCAUCUCACUGUAUACCAUUACUCUUCUCAUGGUCUUGCAGAUGCACCACAUAUAGCUUUUCAGCCUUGCAAAUUAGAUAUUUCGAUUGAUACAUGCAUAUUGUUGGGUGUCUGUCAUCCUUCAGGGUGAGAUGCAGACCAAGGACGACCACUUGACGCAGAGGGAUGCAUGGUUGUGUAGCGGCUUCGGUUGCACAUCUCAUGUAACUGCCGGGAUCGCGGAGAAGUGGUGGUGACAACACAUGAGUGACCUAGAUGGUGGCGAUACUUGUGCAUCCGAUCUCAAGCUUCGGGGUGAAGAGCCUAGGUCUGGCCCAAGGUGGUCAUACCUAGCAAUGGCAAUGUUUUUUUACGUUGUUAUCUUGUUGAAGGCAUUGUUGGAUAUGUUUGGACUAAUUCUUUAGGGUGCAAACCUAGAUUCUUGGCUUGUUGGUUGGAUCUGGUGACAACGGUGCUUGAGCGUCACUCCCUUCUUGAAGGCGUUGUUGUUUAAGAACCUCGUCGUCCAUGUGGCGUCAUGAAAUGGUUGGCGUGGAUAUGAUCAUUGUUGUAGUUUGCGAUCA